AUUGAACGCUGGCGGCAGGCCUAACACAUGCAAGUCGAACGAGUGGCGGACGGGUGAGUAAUGUCUGGGAAACUGCCCGAUGGAGGGGGAUAACUACUGGAAACGGUAGCUAAUACCGCAUACCAUCGGAUGUGCCCCGAUGGGAUUAGCUAGUAGGUGGGGUAAAGGCUCACCGAGGCGACGAUCCCUAGCUGGUCUGCGAGGAUGCCCAGCCACACUGUAACGGUGACACGGUCCAGACGCCUACGGGAGGCAGCAGGGGGGAAUAUGGCACUAUGGGCGCAAGCCUGAUGCAGCCAUGCCGCGUGUAUGAAGAAGGCCUGCGGGUUGUAAAGUACUUGCAGCGGGGAGGCGUUACCCGCAGAAGAAGCACCGGCUAACUCCGUGCCAGCAGCCGCGGUAAUUC
Molecule: ribosomal RNA, 406 nt
Filed under: uncultured bacterium
Lineage: Bacteria
Description: partial 16S ribosomal RNA
Rfam family: Bacterial small subunit ribosomal RNA
Source: RNAcentral